RNAcentral lists this ribosomal RNA (504 nucleotides) under uncultured bacterium. RNAcentral's name for it is "partial 16S ribosomal RNA". It matches the Rfam family "Bacterial small subunit ribosomal RNA", at positions 28 to 507 of the family's 1533-position model. The record is from RNAcentral.
GACGAACGCUGGCGGCGUGCUUAACACAUGCAAGUCGAACGGUGAAGCGCUUGCCUUUUUGGUGGGUGUGGAUGAGUGGCGAACGGGUGAGUAACACGUGAGUAACCUGCCCUCUUCUUCUGGAUAACCUCAUGAAAGUGGGGCUAAUACGGGGUAUUCCGGGUCUGUCGCAUGGCGGGUUUGGGAAAGAUUGCGCCUUUGGGUGUUUUCGGUGGGGGAUGGGCUCGCGGCCUAUCAGCUUGUUGGUGGGGUGAUGGCCUACCAAGGCGGUGACGGGUAGCCGGGCUGAGAGGGUGGACGGCCACACUGGGACUGAGACACGGCCCAGACUCCUGCGGGAGGCAGCAGUGGGGAAUAUUGCACAAUGGGCGCAAGCCUGAUGCAGCGACGCCGCGUGAGGGAUGGAGGCCUUCGGGUUGUGAACCUCUUUCGCCAGUGAAGCAGGCCUGCUCCUGUGUGGGUGGGUUGACGGUAGCUGGAUAAGAAGCGCCGGCUAACUACGUG